Molecule: ribosomal RNA, 497 nt
Filed under: uncultured bacterium
Lineage: Bacteria
Description: partial 16S ribosomal RNA
Rfam family: Bacterial small subunit ribosomal RNA
Source: RNAcentral
GAUGAACGCUGGCGGCGUGCCUAAUACAUGCAAGUCGAGCGAACAGACGAGGAGCUUGCUCCUCUGACGUUAGCGGCGGACGGGUGAGUAACACGUGGAUAACCUACCUAUAAGACUGGGAUAACUUCGGGAAACCGGAGCUAAUACCGGAUAAUAUAUUGAACCGCAUGGUUCAAUAGUUAAAGACGGUUUUGCUGUCACUUAUAGAUGGAUCCGCGCCGCAUUAGCUAGUUGGUAAGGUAACGGCUUACCAAGGCAACGAUGCGUAGCCGACCUGAGAGGGUGAUCAGCCACACUGGAACUGAGACACGGUCCAGACUCCUACGGGAGGCAGCAGUAGGGAAUCUUCCGCAAUGGGCGAAAGCCUGACGCAGCAACGCCGCGUGAGUGAUGAAGGUCUUCGGAUCGUAAAACUCUGUUAUUAGGGAAGAACAAAUGUGUAAGUAACUAUGCACGUCUUGACGGUACCUAAUCAGAAAGCCACGGCUAACUACGUG